GAGCCCCUCUCCUGCUGGAGACACUCGGCACUCAGAAAGUGUGUGCUGAGUGGAUACAAGUGCAGCAAGCUUGCACAGCCUUACAAUGUGUAAUCUCAUGUCUGGCAUAGAGCCCCAUUUUCAUUCUUUGUAAAAUGAGUAAGUGGGGCUGGGUGAUCCAUACUCUCCUUUCAAUUCAGAAGUCCACAUUGAGCCUGAUAUCAAAUAGCUUCCCAGCCAGCGCCAGGCCAAGACCCAGACUGUUCAAUGUGCCUGUGUGGGACCAGCUUGCUGCCUGCUGCCCAGUGCCAGCCAGCAACUCCAGGCUCACAAAGGAGCACCUGCAGGCACCUGCAGGAGAUCUUUGUUACUUAGUAGCUGUGACUGGGCUGAGACAAAACCAUUGCUUAAGUGGGCAAAACUCGGGAGGAUAGAAAAACACACUCUUGAAAACAGGUGAUGACGCCCUGAAAUUCAGCAAACUGCAGGGACACGUGUUGUUCUACCGCAGGUCAGAGUGUGUCAGUCAUCACUCAAUGCCACUCACAGACCACCGACUUCAGAAUACCUAGGUGUAAAGGUCUGUACAAAA
RNAcentral lists this long non-coding RNA (571 nucleotides) under Gorilla gorilla (western gorilla). RNAcentral describes it as "long non-coding RNA NONGGOT011139". Lineage: Eukaryota; Metazoa; Chordata; Mammalia; Primates; Hominidae. The record is from RNAcentral.